RNAcentral lists this long non-coding RNA (1803 nucleotides) under Capsella grandiflora. Its description in RNAcentral is "long non-coding RNA (CGRA_LNC001135)". Lineage: Eukaryota; Viridiplantae; Streptophyta; Magnoliopsida; Brassicales; Brassicaceae. The record is from RNAcentral.
GGUCCAACGUUCUGUAACCCUAAAUUCUUCCCGACAUUGUGCCGUCAGAAUUGCCGGAGCUUCAAAGGUGCCAAAGGAGGUAAAUGUGUGAAGCAGCCCAAACACAAACCUAUCAAAUGCUUCUGCGACUACUGCAAAGACGACUAGACUUCACAAAAAACGCCUUAAAUAGAACCACUGGUUCUAGCUUCACUCUCCAAACGCAACCACCCCUUCUCGACCUAAAUGUUUGUAAUUUCCAUAUAAAUUUUAUAAAAUGUAUCUUUGAUGUUUGUUUGUCCCAGCAUUUUCAUGUAUUCUCGGCAUCAUAAAUCAUAACAAUAUUUCCCCAGUUGCUAAAAAUAAAGGAACGUCUGUAAACAAUGUUGUCAUAAUUUUCAUGUCUUAUCAAAGAACAUGAUGAAAAGAUAAGUGACAAUCAGUAGUACGAAGGAUCAUUAUGACAAGCUAGUGUCGGAGGAGCUUAAACACAAGGCCCACAAUGUAGAAAAUACAGGAUACUUUUCAUUUUUAUAUUAAAGUAAACAACACACAUCUAAUAAAAAUAAAUAAUGGAUGGAUUUUUCAUAUGAAAUCAAACUAUUAAAAAAAUUAUUAACAAAUUUAUUAGUUUAUUUAAAUCCAAACUAAUACAUAAUUUUAUUUUAUAAAAUUUAUAUUCUAAUUAUCCAACAUAAACACAAACCUACGUAUAACUUUGUUAAUUAUGAACUUUAGAUCCUAAUUUUUUUUUAAUUUAAAACUAUAUAUAUAUAUAUAUAUAUAUAUAUCUUCGUUUCAUUAUACUUUACUCUUUAUUUAUAAAUUUAAACUGACAUAUAAUCUCCUUAAACUGUUAUAAUGGAGUUUCAUAAGAUCAGAAACGAAGUUAUAAAGAUUGAGUCUUUUAAUUUUAGGAAAAAUAAAUAAUGGAGCUUUCAGAAGACCGUAUGAAAACGUCUUCCUAGACAUAUCUAGAACGCACCAUUAUUAUUAUUAUUUUCCUUUUUGGUUUAAUAUACAUAUAAAUAUAUACAAAAAAUUUCUUAUAAAAUAAUGAAUCCCAACAAAUCAUUAUAAAACAGUAAUGGCCGUACAACCCUUAUCCAGAUUGUAGCAAUACAGGAUGCUUUUAAAUAACACGUACGUGUAUUGUUGAUAUAUGAUGCCAUGUCACGUGUGUGUGUGUGUGUGUGCGCGCCUUUACAAUUCCAAGAUGUGGUCCUGUGGACCGAGCACAAUAAAAAAGGUCAAUUUUACUCUUGCAACGUCCUUGAACGAUGCACAAUAGCUAAACACACGGUUAAAGUAGUACAAUUUAUGAAAACAUAAUCUGUCGAUUAAUAAAAAGAGUAAGAGAAUGCAAAUCUAAGUGGAACUUAAAAAAUAAAAAUUAAGAGAGAAUAAUGUCCAAUUAGAAGUUCGUUUUUGAAUUCCAAGCAAUGCAACGAUGAAGUUUCAGUCACCCAGCAUUACCAUCUUCCAUGGAAGAUAGUUGAAACCGUUUCUCCCCUCCGAGAUAUCUGAACAAAAUUAUGAAGACACAAGAUCAGAAUUCUAGAAAAUAAGCCUUACAUUACAUGAGUAAAGCAGAAGAAUCUUGAGGAGAGAAAUCUGAAAGUUUUUGUGAACUCAUGAGGGUGACGCAACGAUGAAGAACAUAUCUCUAAACAGAUUUAUAUAAGGAUCAUGAAUUUUUUUUGAAGAUGUAUCGUUUCCCAAAAGGACUUGUAGGAGGACACGAUGUCACACUGUUCUUUUUUCUUUCCGUCGACUCUUCAGUUUUGAUUUAGUUAUUUUGCUUAAUUCAGUAAUUUAUUUAAU